This 412-nucleotide ribosomal RNA is filed under the name uncultured bacterium. RNAcentral's name for it is "bacterial SSU rRNA". It matches the Rfam family "Bacterial small subunit ribosomal RNA", at positions 30 to 446 of the family's 1533-position model. The record is from RNAcentral.
AUUGAACGCUGGCGGAAUGCCUAACACAUGCAAGUCGAACGAGUUGUGUAGCAAUACAUGACUAGUGGCGGACGGGUGAGGAACACAUAGGAAUCUACCCUUGUAGUGGGGAAUAACCCGGGGAAACCCGGACUAAUGCCGCAUACGCACUAAGGUGGAAAGCGGGGGAUCGUAAGACCUCGCGCUAUAGGAUGAGCCUAUGUCGGAUUAGCUAGUUGGUAGGUAACGGCCUACCAAGGCGACGAUCCGUAGCUGGUCUGAGAGGACGAUCAGCCACACUGGAACUGAGACACGGUCCAGACUCCUACGGGAGGCAGCAGUGGGGAAUAUUGGACAAUGGGGGAAACCCUGAUCCAGCAAUUCCGCGUGGGUGAAGAAGGCCUGCGGGUUGUAAAGCACUUCUAGUGGGGAU